RNAcentral lists this ribosomal RNA (279 nucleotides) under uncultured bacterium. Its description in RNAcentral is "partial 16S ribosomal RNA". It matches the Rfam family "Bacterial small subunit ribosomal RNA", at positions 506 to 784 of the family's 1533-position model. The record is from RNAcentral.
UGCCAGCCGCCGCGGUAAUACGGAGGGUGCAAGCGUUAUCCGGAAUUACUGGGUUUAAAGGGUGCGUAGGCGGCUAUAUAAGUCAGGAGUGAAAGGUUCCCGCUAAACGGGAGAAGGUCUUUUGAUACUGUAUAGCUUGAAUAAGGUUGAGGUUAGCGGAAUGUGACAUGUAGCGGUGAAAUGCAUAGAUAUGUCAUAGAACACCAAUUGCGAAGGCAGCUGGCUAGACCUAUAUUGACGCUGAGGCACGAAAGCGUGGGGAGCGAACAGGAUUAGAUA